Molecule: non-coding RNA, 148 nt
Filed under: Nomascus leucogenys (northern white-cheeked gibbon)
Lineage: Eukaryota; Metazoa; Chordata; Mammalia; Primates; Hylobatidae
Source: Rfam by way of RNAcentral
GUCAGGCAUGGUGGCGUGCGCCUGUAGUCCCAGCUACCUGGGAGGCUGAGGCAGGAGAAUUGCUUGAGCCUGGGAGGCGGAGGUUGCAGUGAGCCAAGAUCGCGCCACUGCAUUCUAGCCUGGGCAACAGAGCAAGACUCUGUCUCAA